UUGCUUUUGCAGCACAUAUACUAAAAAUGGAAUGAUACAGAGAAGAUUAGCAUGGUCCCUGUGCAAGGAUGACCCACAAAUUCACGAAGUAUUCCUAUCUGGA
Molecule: small nuclear RNA, 103 nt
Organism: Budorcas taxicolor (takin)
Lineage: Eukaryota; Metazoa; Chordata; Mammalia; Artiodactyla; Bovidae
Source: RefSeq, a predicted model, not a curated record